This is a ribosomal RNA of Carboxydothermus hydrogenoformans Z-2901, 116 nucleotides long. The record is from Rfam. Lineage: Bacteria; Bacillati; Bacillota; Clostridia; Thermoanaerobacterales; Thermoanaerobacteraceae.
UCCGGUGGCCAUAGCGGAGGGGAAACACCCGUUCCCAUUCCGAACACGGCAGUUAAGCCCUCCAGCGCCAAUGGUACUGGGACGAUAGGUCCCGGGAGAGUAGGUCGCUGCCGGAA